This 24-nucleotide microRNA is filed under the name Gallus gallus (chicken). RNAcentral describes it as "microRNA Ros-gga". Lineage: Eukaryota; Metazoa; Chordata; Aves; Galliformes; Phasianidae. The record is from RNAcentral.
UGGUUAGCAUAGCUGCCUUCCAAG